UACGAGUGGUGCAAACGUUAUUCGGAAUCACUGGGCUUAAAGGGUGCGUAGGCUGCUAUGAAGGUCUGGUGUGAAAUACCACGGCUCAACCGUGGAAUGGCAUUGGAAACCACAUAGCUGGAGUGAGACAGAGGUGAGCGGAACUGAUGGUGGAGCGGUGAAAUGCGUUGAUAUCAUCAGGAACACCGGUGGCGAAAGCGGCUCACUGGGUCUCUACUGACGCUGAGGCACGAAAGCUAGGGGAGCAAACGGG
Molecule: ribosomal RNA, 253 nt
Filed under: uncultured Blastopirellula sp.
Lineage: Bacteria; Pseudomonadati; Planctomycetota; Planctomycetia; Pirellulales; Pirellulaceae
Description: partial 16S ribosomal RNA
Rfam family: Bacterial small subunit ribosomal RNA
Source: RNAcentral